RNAcentral lists this transfer RNA (72 nucleotides) under Phycisphaerae bacterium. RNAcentral's name for it is "tRNA-Met". It matches the Rfam family "tRNA". Rfam says of the family: Transfer RNA (tRNA) molecules are approximately 80 nucleotides in length. Their secondary structure includes four short double-helical elements and three loops (D, anti-codon, and T loops). RNAcentral also lists the same sequence under 1 other name. Lineage: Bacteria; Pseudomonadati; Planctomycetota; Phycisphaerae. The record is from RNAcentral.
UGGCGGGAUGGUGUAGCGGCAACAUGCCGGCCUCAUGAGCCGGAGCUGCGGGUUCGAAUCCCGCUCCCGCAA